Molecule: long non-coding RNA, 3805 nt
Organism: Cydia pomonella (codling moth)
Lineage: Eukaryota; Metazoa; Arthropoda; Insecta; Lepidoptera; Tortricidae
Exons: 4
Source: RefSeq, a predicted model, not a curated record
UCGGCCCUAUUCGAAAAAUGCAAUACGGAAAAGAUAUGAGAUCGUUAAGUUCUGGUUUAGAUAUAGAUAAGUUCUCAAUUAGAUAUCGUUUGUAUGUGGUAUAAUUGACAGAAGCUGCACGAUUCGGAUGACCAAUGUCACUUUGACGUUAGAAUAUCUUUGAAAGAUCUUAGUCAGUGUUGCCAGAUGGGUUUUGCGUUCCGUUACGUGCACCUCUUAAAAAUAGUACGCAAAUUCAAGUUGAGUACGCAGUAUAAAAUUUACGGUGCGUUCCUAAAUAAUAUUAAUCGGAAAACCACCGAAUUUUAUCGCUACUAUAAAAAUGUUGAAAAUAGAACUUCACAUAUUUCGAUAAAAUAUUUCUUGUUUAAGGAGACUCAAUUCAAUGCAAAUUUGCCAACGGUGGCGUUUCGAAAUGUAAUACCGUCGCGGCGUCUGUCAUACUUCGGUCUACUUAAACACGCUGCACGCUGCUGCGACGCGUCAGGGCCUACCGCGAACCACGUUCGACGUGUUGCCUCUCUGUCGCACUUAUAAAUUCGUACGUAAGUAUGACAGGGAGGCAACACGUCGAACGUGGUUCACGGUAGGCCCUCUGUUCUGUGAUUGUUAGGCAAACACAAACAUUUUUUUUUACAACGGACGCCCACGAGUAUUCCUCUGCGUUGAAGUCAUUGUUGAAGUUUGAAAACUCAUAAAGUUUUGUUUUGUGAGUGAAACCGUGAAUAAUACUAAAUAAAAAUGUGUGACAGUGAUCACAGUGAUGAAAAUAUGUUGCCCACUACUCCUCAGGAAAUAUUAAAGCCUUUUCCGUUUAUGUUGUUCCGUUGUUUGCUAUUUUGACAACUUGAAAAGUUUUAUCGGCAGUUUGCGUGUUAUUACUGUGAAGUGUUUGGCCAAACCGCCGCUACCACUUUUGAAAGGAUGCCACCCAAAAAUCCAAAAAUUCGCUCGAACGCAGCACAAAUUAGAUUGCUCGUUGAAUACAUGUCACAGCACACCCGGUUCGCCAACCGGGAAUUUGACGGGCCUCUAAGGACCCCAGAGGUACGAGGCGCAAUGGGAGGCCCUUGCACAGGCCUUAAGGGAGCACGGGCCCAAUAAGUCAGUGCAGGCAUGGAAAGUGGUGGGCACCUGCUCCCCGCUGGCGACACCCUUGCAGAAGCUAGCAUUUUCAGAUAUAUUUACUUUUUAAGUUUUUGGUUUGGUUUAACCGGAAUUAUUUUUACCCGACUAUGAGAAUGGGAAGGGUUAUGAUUUUAGCAGUCUACGUAUGGAUGCCGUAUAUAUGCCGGUAUGUUUUUGUUGUGUAUAAAUUACUAAUCAAUUUUGGUGAAUGAGGUGUUUAUAGGUUCAUUUUUAUGGGGUGACAUAGACUACAUAAUAAUAUUUAACUGACUUUGGACAAGGAAGAGGUGCUAUAGUUAAGAAAAAAAUCAUAGUCGGGUAAAAGUUUUUACAAUCUUUUGCUUGUUUUCAUUCUUAUAACAAAUAUUUUAAACUUGCAUGUGCUCAUUGCCUCAGAUUGACGACUACGUUGAGUUUUCGGGUGCUGGGAACAGUGUGGCUGGCAGCACGUUUUCUGCCACUGCUGAAAAUCUCGUUGUUGUUCCAACAACCGCCACCGUUACUGCGGCCUUGCUCAGCGAACAACCCCACUUCUCCACCUCUCAUUUGUCCUCGUCUCCCUCUCCUUCUGCCAGCCCUAUACGCUCCACGCAUUCAGUACUGCCCACAAGUCCUGGACUACCCGAACGUCCCUCCCUUGCCGCCCUUUCCGCCCGCUAUGCCCGUCCCGCCCUUCUCGCUCGUUCCGCAAUAACCGCCCAACCCGCACGUCUUGUCCUGCCUGCACGUCAAGUACACAGCUCUGUGUACGUGGAUCCGCGCCCUGCACGCGUAUCCACGUACACAGAGCUGUGUACUUGCCCCGCAACCGCACGACGGAACCGGCACCUUCGACAGCACAAUUUAAUCAUCUGCAGCAUGAGCAUGAUAAUAUUUUAAGAGUAAUUAAUUAAUUUAUGAACUAAUAAUUCUGUUUUAAGAUCAGGUUGAGUACGAGAAACAUUGUUUAUUUAACUUGGGACAAGAAAAACAGUAACUUGGCAGUAAGAAUGCAUACAUAAAGCCUGUAAGCUCCAUACUUGACGUACCAUUCCCUACAAGUGUUUCUCUUGCCUCCAUAUUUCGCUUACCCCAUCUGACCUUAUUUGUAUUGAUAAAACAUACAAAUAAUAAAUAUAUAUAUACGCGAGCAAUCGCAAAAUCUACAUUUCGGGAUUUCUCGUAUCGUACAGUGCCGUUUAAAUAAAAUAACACCACCAACUACCCAUAAGAGGGUUAUUAUGAAACUUAUAAUUAACAUGCAUUUUAUUGAAAGGCUGGAAUUUUAUUUAUCUUGAAAUCUUGACCAUGGUCAUAUGUUUGACUGGACGGUACACGGCAAUGUUAUUAUUACUAAUAUAUUUCAUAACACUAGACUUAUUCAAUCCUAAGUAACCUAUUAGCUUCUCAUUCGUGUGCGGUAUAUAUCAGCGUUUGGUAGUAUCAUAAUAGUCAAAUCUGGUGUUGGUUGUUGUUAAUAGUUAAAUGUUCAUAAAAUUUGACAACUUAUUAUAGUUAUAUUUUGUGUGAGUCAGUUAUCAUAACAGAAAUAAGAUAUAAAGCUGUUAAUACCGUAAAUUGUGUAUGGAUAUGUUUGACUCAAAUUCUGUAUUCCCACAAUAAGUAGGUAUACGGGGAGCCCGUAAGAAAUCAGUGGUAUAUGAAGGCUUUCUUGUGCAACUUUAGUAUGAGCUGGAACAAGUAAAUGUAGUUAUGUAGAACAGAUAAUCUCCAUUGUGGUAGAUGGCGCUAUUUAUUAUGUGCUCUGUGAUACCACUUAGUUUAAACUUGCUAUAACAUAUUUUAUGUUGACAGGAUAUCCUGAACGAACUGAAAAUUUUUAAUGAGGCGCAGAAACAAAAAUGGAGUGUUUUGAAGGAGGGGCACGACUUGUUGGCGAAUCGUAUUAACACAUUGGAGGACACCGAGAUUAUUGAGAACUUGGAAGACACAGUUAUAAUGGAAGAGGAAGACGUCUGAGCUAAGCGCUGUCCUCGCACCCUCCGUCUAGUUUACGUUUGCGGCCAUAUCAAAAAUACACACCGUAUGUUUAUUAGGGUUCCGUACCAAAAAGGUACAAAAGGAACCCUUAUGGUGCUAUUGCUAAAUAUCUCGAGAAGUACUUAAGCUAUCGAUGUGAAAUUUGGAAUAGUAAUGAAUAACGCUGACCCAAACAUAUUGGAUGUGUAUUUAUUUUAUUUUAUUUGUAAGUAUUAAUAAUGGAAAAUUCCCAAUAUGAAGAGGGGGUAAAAUUGCAAAGUCUAGUUAAAUAGGUCAAGUGGGGUAUCAUUUGAAAGAGCUCAAAUUGAAAAUUACAAAACAAUUUUUUAUUUUCAUUGUGAAAAAAAAAUUUACGUAUGAAGGAAAAUGUGAAAAUAAUACCAUCCUCCCCCCCCUCUCUCAUCUCCGAAGUUUAAGAAUAAAAAUUGUUUUUUUUUACAUUGGUCAAGUCUUUCAUGAGAAAAUUUGAAGUUUGUACGGAACCCUCGGUGUGCGAGGUAAACGAACUCGCACUUGACCGGUUAUUCUUAUUGCCCAUAAGGCCCGUCCUUAGAUAUAUGUCAAUGAUUACGGUGAUCUCGAAAAUGGCUCAAAUGAUUUCAAUUAAAUUUGCUAUAUGGGGGUUUUCGGGGCGUUUUUGAGUUUUUACCUAUUUGUUUUCCGAGCAAAAGGAAUUAAAGUUUACUGAUUUUGAAAA